This 468-nucleotide ribosomal RNA is filed under the name Papilio machaon (common yellow swallowtail). Its description in RNAcentral is "partial large subunit ribosomal RNA". The record is from RNAcentral. Lineage: Eukaryota; Metazoa; Arthropoda; Insecta; Lepidoptera; Papilionidae.
UUUUUGGAAAUAAUUUAAAGUCUAAUCUGCCCACUGAUAAAUAUAUUAAAGGGCUGCAGUAUUUUGACUGUACAAAGGUAGCAUAAUCAUUAGUCUCUUAAUUGGUGACUUGUAUGAAAGAUUGGAUGAAAUAUAAACUGUCUCUAAUUAAUUUAUAAAAUUUAAUUUUUUAGUAAAAAAGCUAAAAUAAUUUUAAAAGACGAGAAGACCCUAUAGAGUUUUAUAAUUUAUUUGAUUAUUAUUAAUAUGUAAAUUUUAAAAUUAAAAUUAAAUAAAUUAUUUUGUUGGGGUGACAGAAAAAUUAAAUUAACUUUUUUAAAUAAUUAACAUUAAUUUAUGAGUAAAUGAUCCAUUAAUAUUGAUUAAAAGAAAAAAUUACCUUAGGGAUAACAGCGUAAUUUUUUUUUUUAGUUCAAAUAGGAAAAAAAGUUUGCGACCUCGAUGUUGGAUUAAGAUAAAAUUUAAAUG